Molecule: long non-coding RNA, 182 nt
Organism: Xenopus tropicalis (tropical clawed frog)
Lineage: Eukaryota; Metazoa; Chordata; Amphibia; Anura; Pipidae
Exons: 2
Source: RefSeq, a predicted model, not a curated record
CCCAAAGCUUCUGUAAUUCUACCAACUCGGCUGCCAAGGGGAAGUCUAUGGAUAGAUUCCAUGUGCACCAGGGGAAACUGAGACAGGAGGCAAGGUUUCCCUGACUGCGGCCAAUAUCAAAUGGAAGGUUUAUGUGACCUGUGUUAAAAUGCAUUUCUUCUUUAUUAAAUCAGUAAUAACCA